This 1210-nucleotide long non-coding RNA is filed under the name Zostera marina. Its description in RNAcentral is "long non-coding RNA (ZMAR_LNC002537)". The record is from RNAcentral. Lineage: Eukaryota; Viridiplantae; Streptophyta; Magnoliopsida; Alismatales; Zosteraceae.
AUGGAAGGUUCAUCUUGAUUCGCAAAUGAUGGUGGAGAGGUCAUUAUAUGCUAUGGGUAAAGAAAAGAACCAUUCAAUGUAUGAAAACAAAAAAUGAAAACAAUAGAUCACUUACCUUGUAUUCACAGGGGGGGAGGUAAAUGAAACCAGAUGAUGGGUUGGAUGACCUAGACAAGAUAGAGAAAAAAGACGAUGAAGUGUUUGGAGAUUGUAGAAGUAGACAUUGGGGCAAAAAGACAAAAAAUAAGGAAAUCGAAAGAUUGCACAAGGUGGCAAACCCGACUAUUGACAGAUGAAUAGUAAAAAGGACAAUGUGGCAAAACCGAUGUUGGAUAGACAAAGAUUUGGUUUUCUUCAUAUGAAAAAUAUUUUAGCAGAGGACGUCUACGAAAUACAGGAGAUAAUAUACAUAUUAUGGGAACAUCAUAAUGUGUAUAAAACGAAUCAUUUGAGAAGAUAUUGAUUGGAUAGGAUGACAUAUGAUGCCAACAGAUAAAAGACAAAGAAAUGGACUGUCAGCAGUAGAAGAGGUAGGUGAGUACAGUGAAAAAGAAAACAGGUGAUUAGACUAGGACAAAGAACAAGUAAAGAAGAAGAAGAAGAAGAAGAAGAAAAGGUACAUCUGACAAAGGAAUUGACGGAAGAAAGAAGAGAGAGAAAAACAAAAUGGCGGAGAUAUAGAAAUAAUGGAAGAGGGAGAGAAGAAGAACCCAUGGACUUCGAUGGCAGCAAAAAACUUAAGAUACAUCGACAUUCGUUAGAAUGUAGGAAAAAAUACUCAAUCUAAUUGCUGGAAGGAGGGAAGACGGAGGAAAAACAAAAACAUGGGAAGAUAGGAGAAGGAAGACUAGAGAGAGGACGACUACUACUGACGGAAACAAAAACAGAGUAAUCUGACGGAAGAUAGAAGUGAAACAGUAGAAGGACAGGUACUACUGACAAAACGAAAACGUGAAAAGAGAGAGGUGAAUAACGGUGAAUAAAAGGAUUAAAAAAAUGAAGAAAACAGUACAAGAUGAGAGAGUGUGUCACCGGUUGUUAGAGGUUGAAAAGCAACGGUUUAGAUGAAAGAAAAGAAAAUGGAAGGUUGAGAUUUAGUUCACAUUUGAGAACCCAAAAUAGGGGUUCUCAACUGAUAUUUUUUGUAUUCAUUUAAUCAUUUUAAUUUUUUAAUUUUUACUUGGGUAAAUGGGUCGGGUUAAGCCGGAUC